RNAcentral lists this unclassified non-coding RNA (201 nucleotides) under uncultured Basidiomycota. RNAcentral describes it as "sequence contains ITS2". Lineage: Eukaryota; Fungi; Basidiomycota. The record is from RNAcentral.
AGCCAUCAACUCCUCCCGUUUGUUGCGGGCUGUGUGUUGGACUUGGGGGCCUGCUGCCGUGAGGCCGCUCCCCUCGAAUGCGUCGGUUGGGCCUGAGGGUCAAACUCGACUGGGCGUUGUACAAACCUCGCUCUGACCGAGUCCCUUUUUGCGUGCCCUCCCUGGACCUGCCCUUUUGGAGUGGCGGUCAAACUUUUCGAA